RNAcentral lists this ribosomal RNA (253 nucleotides) under uncultured bacterium. RNAcentral describes it as "partial 16S ribosomal RNA". It matches the Rfam family "Bacterial small subunit ribosomal RNA", at positions 524 to 776 of the family's 1533-position model. The record is from RNAcentral.
UACAGAGGUCCCAAGCGUUGUUCGGAUUCAUUGGGCGUAAAGGGUGUGUAGGCGGUCUUCUAAGUUUGGUGUGAAAUCUCCCGGCUCAACUGGGAGGGUGCGCCGAAAACUGGGAGGCUAGAAUGCGGGAUGGGAGAGUGGAAUUCCUGGUGUAGCGGUGAAAUGCGUAGAUAUCAGGAGGAACACCUGUGGUGUAGACGGCUCUCUGGACCGCAACUGACGCUGAGACACGAAAGCGUGGGUAGCAAACAGG